Molecule: ribosomal RNA, 253 nt
Filed under: uncultured bacterium
Lineage: Bacteria
Description: partial 16S ribosomal RNA
Rfam family: Bacterial small subunit ribosomal RNA
Source: RNAcentral
UACGUAGGGGGCAAGCGUUGUCCGGAAUCAUUGGGCGUAAAGAGCGCGUAGGCGGCCCUGUAAGUCCGCUGUGAAAGUCAAGGGCUCAACCCUUGGAUGCCGGUGGAUACUGCAGGGCUAGAGUCCGGAAGAGGCGAGUGGAAUUCCUGGUGUAGCGGUGAAAUGCGCAGAUAUCAGGAGGAACACCGGUGGCGAAGGCGGCAUUCUGGACCGAUAUUGACGCUGAGGAGCGAAAGCCAGGGGAGCAAACGGG